This 23-nucleotide small nuclear RNA is filed under the name Arabidopsis thaliana (thale cress). RNAcentral's name for it is "snRNA_07744". The record is from RNAcentral. Lineage: Eukaryota; Viridiplantae; Streptophyta; Magnoliopsida; Brassicales; Brassicaceae.
AUUAUGGAAUGUGUUUUCCCACA